Molecule: long non-coding RNA, 1670 nt
Organism: Vidua macroura (Pin-tailed whydah)
Lineage: Eukaryota; Metazoa; Chordata; Aves; Passeriformes; Viduidae
Exons: 2
Source: RefSeq, a predicted model, not a curated record
UGUUACAGCACAGACUGGAAGACUGGUGGCAGAACUUGUCCUUCCUAAGUAUGAGUUACCAUGAAUAGGGUAAAUAUGACUGAGGGUAAUGGCCAAAAUGCUUGACAGUCUCAGGUGUGGCAGCGGUGAAUUUCCACGUGCCUCCAGCCGGGGAUUGGGAGCCUUGGCUGAGCACAGAGCGCUGAACAUGCUGCAGACGGUGCCUCAAGACCUCUGGUGUCAGGCACUCUCCAGCGGUCCCAUAGAGGCACCUCAUCAGCUCUGCCCUGACACUUCACAGCCCCUUGUUAACCCUUCUCUUUUUAUGGCCCUGUAGGUAAAGGAGUUGAUCCUACUGAAAUAUGCCUGAGGCUGCCAGCAAGGAGCUGUAGAGCUGCCUGAACCCAAGUCCAGAUGCACAUGUUCUCCGUGACGAUAAGUGUGCUCUGACAGGGCUGAAGCUGCUCCAACUCCACGGGACAGCAACACAGAGCAGCCCCAGCACAGCCAGAAGGCUCUGAGCUGAUGCCAGGCUGAUGGGGAACAGCGUUUGUGCCAGGAUUAGCACCGGGCCCCUCACAAUCACAUUUAUACUCAUUCUACAUGGAUGAGGACUGGCUGACAAUUCCCGGCAUUCCAGUUUGGAAGAAAGUUUUGUCUAUUUUCAAUGCUGUGGGUCUGCCUGCCCUGCUGACAUGCCUUCGAUCCAUCCCAUUCCCUUCCAUUUCAGUUACAGAUGAGGAAAGCUAAAGUAGCAACACUGCUCUUUUUUCUGUUAUGCUUUUGGCUUAGUCUUAUCAAGCUGGGUUUCGUUUCUGCAUUCAUUUCACUGCUUUCAUAAAACUGACUUGGCAAGUUUGGAUGACUGAUAAGGAAUGAACGUUUCUCACCCACAGCUGCUCUGAUAUGAUUUUUUGAAGUCCCUUUGGACUGAACAAAUGCAGAAGAUAUUACUGACAAUUUUAAAAUGAGAUAAUAAAUCUCAAUAAGGUUUUGCAUACAUAUGUACUCACGAAGUCAGAGUUUUAUCAGAACAUAAUCUGAAUGCUCUGAAAAUUUCUAGAGGCCUCACAAGUAUGAAAAUACUUUUCUCAAAGUCACAGGAGGAUUAAAAGUGAGAGACAGACAUUACCAAGAAAAAAAAAAAAAGAACCAAAAGGAAGAGCAUCAAGUUAUUUCAGCGUAAGCACCUUAAAUAACUGGCAUCUGUUCUCAAGUCUUGUGUAACAAAUUGUAGCUCUCUGCAAUAAGUCCAAUGGGUUACAGUAUCCUGCGAGAUUAGACAUCUGUAAGGAACGUUGACAAGACCUUUGGUGUAGCAAUGCAGUACUGCCCCCUCAAAAAAAACAAAGGUACCCAAGUCCCUCAUUACUGCUGAAGCCAUUUGAAGGGAUUAUUCCAUUUUUACAUCAUUUCUGCAGCACACUGAGAAAAUCCUGUGGAUAUUCUCAGCUCAGUCAGAGAGAAGGAGAAAGGUUUUCUAACCAGCAGUUGGGAAAGAAUGUAAAUAAUUCUCUAAUCUGUUAUUCACAUUGUUUAUAGAUAUGUUCUGCCAGUGUCUGUCAUUCACUGCAGACCAAUGCCGUGAGAUGUUUUUACUCUAAGACCAAUGAAAUUAAUCCACACAAUGUUCUCUAUAUAUAGAGGAGUACAUUUGAAAUAAAGGAGAGUUCAUUCUCUUUGCCUUCUAA